AUCAUAAAAGAAAAUCCUGAAAAUGAGCAGACAGGGGCUUUAACGUUUCAGCACCCUCAGCUUAAACACUGUACCUGUGUGAGAAUCUCUGACUGGUCCUGAAUAGAAACUGAAGCUGUUUCUCCUCGUCUCUCUGAAAGGCUCCGAAGUGUGGAGACGACACGUACUCGGCUCUGAACCCCAACGCCAGGUCCUCCGACUACGACACUCUGACUCAGGUUAGAGACUCUGCCAGCGACACGUACUCAGCUCUGAACUCCACCACCAGGUCCUCCGACUACGACACUCUCACAGUUGUCCGUCCUCACCCAGCGAUGAGAAGAGCUCCAGAGAACGAGAACUAACAGCUGUUCAUUUACUCUUCAUUCACCACUGCAGCUUCAGCUCUAUGGACAGAACAUUAAAGAGGCGUACGGAGGAUUUCUGAGGAUUAAAGAGCUUCUAGAGCUCAAAACACAUCAGAUGAUCUCCUAAAGUCAGAGAGAUUCUCUCAGAUCAGUCAGAGGAGCUUCUGUUUAUGAAGGGUCUUUAUUCACUGUAGUGCUGUUAUACACCAUGAUGAUCCAAACACGGACCAGAACCAGGCGGUUCUGAUCGCUCAGUGUGAACAGAGUUGAGAUGAUUUGGAUCCAGUUUGAGUUAAAAUGUCACUGUGUAAAUCAGAUUUAUUAAUGUAGAGUUUGUAUAUUUUCAGUUUCUUCUCUGUAGUUUUCCUCUUGUUCUCAUUGUUUAGGUUAGUAGAUCCUCUUAAACUCUUUUCUAGCUGUGCUGUCGUUGUUCUGAAUGUGCUGCUAAAACACCGAUAAUAAAGUUUGGAAGCAGCUUCUGUUUCCUGUUUAAUGAA
Pygocentrus nattereri (red-bellied piranha) is the source of this 844-nucleotide long non-coding RNA. RefSeq lists it as uncharacterized. The transcript has 3 exons. The record is from RefSeq and is a predicted model, not a curated record. NCBI's taxonomy places the organism in Eukaryota, Metazoa, Chordata, Actinopteri, Characiformes, Serrasalmidae.